AAAGGGAGACCUAAUUCAGGUAGGAGACGAAAAAAUAGUAGUCGAAACCAAGAAUCAAUCCCAAAAGGUCGGAACGAGGUAUGUGGCUUUCAAACUAGGUUCUGGGUUCACACAAGACCUGAAUCAGGAACAAGGGCUAUUAGCUCAGGUGGUUAGAGCGCACCCCUGAUAAGGGUGAGGUCCCUGGUUCGAGUCCAGGAUGGCCCACCUGCACAGGUGGCAAAAACAAGAGAAGCGAGGAAUCAGCACCUUAUCUUACUUAUAUAGUAAGAGAGAAUGCUGGCUCUGAGUAAAGAGUCCAGAGGAACCUUGAAAACUGCAUAGAGCUAGGUGAAAAAGCCAAAAAAGAAGACCGCAAG
Molecule: transfer RNA, 359 nt
Filed under: uncultured Microcystis sp.
Lineage: Bacteria; Bacillati; Cyanobacteriota; Cyanophyceae; Chroococcales; Microcystaceae
Description: partial 16S-23S ribosomal RNA intergenic spacer
Rfam family: tRNA (bases 134-207)
Source: RNAcentral